UUCUUAUUUUCUCUUUUCCGUUCUCUUUCUUCUUCUAUGUUCUUCAUCUCCUUCUCUUUCUGUUGGUUUCAGUUCGACUGAUUGAGCUUAGUAUAGUAUGAAUAAUUCAUGGAAAGUUAGGUAGCAAGAUGAAUCGAAGAAGUUGAGGUUGUUUGAGUUCCAGGAGAAGAAAAAAGUGACGUUGAUGUCGAAUCAAAGUUAGGGUUUCGGUUUAAGUUCAAGAAAUGGAAGAAUUGUUGAAUUAAAAAUGGAUUUGAGUGCCUGGUGAUGAAGAAAAAAAAAGGAUUGGUGUUAAUUUGUUUGAUGCGAAGAAGAAGAAUCACAAGAUCAGUUAGUCGUUAUUAACAACGAUCGAUCUAAAGAAUGAACCAGUGGAUCAUGGAUCUCAAGGUAGGCGAGGCUUGUCAUCAAAAGAGGUGGGAAUUGAUAACGAACUCUCUUGUAUUCAUUAUUGUUUUAUAAAUCUAUUUAUAUUGUGAAAGUGAUGCAUAUUUUUGUUACUAUAGGAUAUGUAUAUGCAUGUAUUAUUUGUGUGUAAUAGAAACUAGUUUUCUUUUACAUUUUGGGAUGGGCUUGGAUCUUUAGAAACAACUAAUAUCUGUGUUUUGGGAGUAAUUACUUAUCUUCAAAAUGUGUUUUUUUCAUUGACUGGAAAGUGAUUACAAUCUUUACUUUCUGUUAGCAUGAAAGGAAGAGGGUUUCCUUUUGAUUGGUGUAUAGAAUGAGUUCCUUCACCGCACUUUAUACCUAGUUUUUAAGCACUUGUGUAGGGGCGUAAAAGCAUCCAAUAUUAAAUAGGCCCGGAGGGUAUCCUUAAGUGGGUACUGAGGUGUCCAAUAUUACCAUAGGAGGCGUAAAAGCAGCGUAUGGAAUACUUUUUCAUAGAGGGGACUAUUCUGUAUACAUGUAUGUUUACUGUUCUUUUAAAUUACUUUCAAAAGCUAUUAUAUUAUGUUUUGGUGUUCAGAGAGAAUGACUUGAUAUGUCGAGUGUGCGUAGAAUGAGGUGCUGGUAAGGUACAUAUCGUUUACGACUUCGAGGACGGAAAACCUCAGGGGGCUUUAAUGAUCAUUGAAGAAUCCGCAACAGUCAUGCCUUGCUACUCCGAAGGAAGACGUCGCUCAACUAUUAUUUAUGUUGUGAAUAUGUGCCGGUUUAUUAGUUGGUAGAACUUUAUAUUUCAGUAAAACUUAUUAUUUUAAUAUGCUUUAUCUGUUUUUUUAUCGGUUUUUUAGCAAAACCUGCAUUCUCUUUAAAUCAUUCUAGUGAUUACUCGAAAGUUAGUUGUUAUUUCUAAUUGGCACCCUUCGGGAUGAUGUGCUCACUCAAUUCCCACUUCCAGUUUCAGAGACAUAUCAGGAUGCGUACGUGGCGAUGAAAGCUUCGAGGAUUUUAUUUUCUUAGUUGGUUAGCUUCCGCUAUAUUUAUUUUUUGUUUAUAUUCUUCUUUGUAAACCAACUCACUACUGAAUAUGUAUCACUUGAGAGGAGUUCUUGUAUUUAUUUCUGAGAGGGUUAAAUUCGGUUAAUCUUUGUUUA
This is a long non-coding RNA of Papaver somniferum (opium poppy), 1538 nucleotides long. RefSeq lists it as uncharacterized. NCBI's taxonomy places the organism in Eukaryota, Viridiplantae, Streptophyta, Magnoliopsida, Ranunculales, Papaveraceae. The transcript has 2 exons. The record is from RefSeq and is a predicted model, not a curated record.